GGGCCGUUAGCUCAGUCGGUAGAGCAGCUGGCUUUUAACUAGUUGGUCGUUGGUUCGAAUCCAACACGGCCCACCA
This 76-nucleotide transfer RNA is filed under the name Arenimonas sp. SCN 70-307. RNAcentral describes it as "tRNA-Lys". It matches the Rfam family "tRNA". From Rfam's summary of the family: Transfer RNA (tRNA) molecules are approximately 80 nucleotides in length. Their secondary structure includes four short double-helical elements and three loops (D, anti-codon, and T loops). The record is from RNAcentral. Lineage: Bacteria; Pseudomonadati; Pseudomonadota; Gammaproteobacteria; Lysobacterales; Lysobacteraceae. RNAcentral also lists the same sequence under 2 other names.